GUAUAUAUACACCCGCGCGAUGCCCAGAUCAUUUUAAAGAAAAAAGCGAAAAUAUUAGAAAUAUAUGUAUAUUGCUACAUAAGUACUUGCCUUUAAAUGGAUUAGUCCACCUGAAAAAGCAUAUAUUUUUGUCUCAAGUUAUGAUUAGAUAAUAUAAAGAACAGUUAAACAGAUGUGUAAUUCGCAAAUUAAGACAUCACCUUCUGUAGUGAUGUAAUUUGGAAACAAAUGUAAGAAUAUGAGCAAGUCAUUUAUCUUGGUUGAUGCUAUAAACGAAGACGCACACGAAACUCAAAAUCUCGGAAAUACGCAAUCCUUGUAAGUAUAACAGUUUUAAGUCUUAGAUAAAAAUGUAUACAAUAAAAACAUUAGUUCUCUUCAAGACUUAAUGUCACAUGCCGACAUAGCAGUGAUGUUGUUGUUCUAGUCGAAAACAUCUUUAUCAUAAGCUACAUGUUCCUUUACAGAUGGGGCAAAGUUCGAUGUUGCACUCUUAAAGUAAGUUUUCUUACAUGUAAAAACAAAUGUAUAUUGCAGACUAUUAGAUGAAAUAAUAGGUAGAACAUUUGGUACUCUUAGUGAAACAAAAUAACGUGAAACGCUAACAAAUUUUGCUUACAAGUUGUUGCAUUUAUUGCUCCAAGUGAAUCCACCCCCAAUCACACAUAUAAAGUUGUAUAAAGGAUGGCAACACCCACCUUUCCAAUGGCUGUAAAUGCUGAAAAUUUACCGGGAUGAAUAUCUAUCUACAUCAGAAAUAUCUCAAGUCAAUUUGAAUAAGUUUUUCUAACUCUUUUACAGUAGAUCAUUAUGAUGAAUGCAACUUAUACCUGAAUUUUAUAUACCACUAUCAUCAAAUUAUGUUCUUAUAUACAAAGAAGAUCAGAGAUUUAGUCUAAUGAUCUUAUAGUUAUACGCUGGCAUAUAAAAAAUACAUAAAAUUACAUAGGUUAUUUGUAUUUUCUGGUUUCUUGUUUGUAUUAGUUUGGUUCUUAAAAUAAUUCUAUAUCGAACUUUUAAGUCUUCUCGUCGGCCAUCUAUCACUUCUCAAACCCAUUUAACCUUGCAACAGUUGCUUCGAAAUGUUGAUAGUGAAUAACUGAAUACGACGAAUGGAUUGUAUUUCAUAAAUAAAGUAAUAAAAACUUGGUGAUAUUAUAUAUGAGAAAAUGUAAUAAAAAAUAAAGAAAGUUUUACAUCACUCUAGAUUCUAAGUUUCUUAUCUAUCAUACAUAGAUAGUGUUUCGCUCUUUAUUAUUUUCUUUUGUUUCACCUCAAUUUGCAUGAGGAUAUGUACACUUUAAGAUGAUUUAGAAUAAUUGUUUGUUAUUCAUAAUAAAUACUACAUCAUUUUCUCUUUGCUUCAUAUUCUCUCCUCUUCACUUACUUAAGAGCAUUUAAAACCGCAAUACUGCCUAAAUACAACAUCAUAACUGAAUAGAUUGCCUUUCUUAAAUAACGUCCAUAAUUGAAUAGACUACCUUUUAACAUUUUAUGUCUAAAAUACUAGACAUAUUUGGAUACAUAUCAACUAUCUCCGCUCAUCUGCGAAGAAUUAAUACCCCUCUUCCACGCCUAGAAAGAAACUCAGAGGUUGACCUCCCCUCGCAUCUGAUUAGCUAGUUGGUAAGGCAAUAGAUUACCAAAGUAAUGAUUAGUAGCUGGUCUGAGAGGAUGAUCAACUACACUAGGACUGAGACACGGCCCACAGUACUACGGGAGGCAGGAGUGAAAAUUUUCCGCAAUAGGCGAAAGCCUAACAAAAUAAUGCUGCGUGGAGGUAGAAGGCCCACGGGUCGUAUCACCCUCAAAAUGUUAUCUUAACUGACAAAGUCAGAAGCAAUAAUGUAGUCGGACCAAGCCCCUAAAUAUAUACGUUUGGGAAUGCAUGUCGUACAAAUACUAAGAUGCAUGUAACAAAAUCCGGCCAAAAAAAGAGAUCGAAAAAAUAGAAAAACAAACAAAAUCCAUCAAACUCUCUUAAUAAAGGAAAUAAGGAACAAAGGAGCAAAAUUCAUAUGUACUUACUAACACAGUAGAGCCAGUAAAAGCCAAAUGGAAAAAUCAGAUUGCAAACUAAGAAGUGAAAGAGAAUACCUGAUAAAUCAAACAAAAUAGAGGAAACAUAUACUACAACCAUCCAAAAAAUUGAUGAAUACCUGAUAAAUAAAACAAAAUAACCAACAUUAAAAUGGUAUGGAAACUGAACCAAGCUACAAUCUGCAACAAAGUCACAAAUGAAAAAACCAAAAAAUAAAAAAGAGAUCAUAUUUCCAGUGUAGUAUACACCCAAGGUAACACAUGCAACACAAAGGGAAAGCUGAUGAAAAUAAGAGAAAAUCAUAGCCUGCAAUUUUUAUGUGAAACAUGACCUGAACACCUGCAGCGCAAAAAAUUAAUCCAAAUUUAAUGACUCCCUGCUAAUAAGUAGGGAGAAAACUGAAAGUUCACAAGAAAAGUUCUAAAAGAAACCAAAAAAGAAAAGGACUAAGCAGAGAAGCAGAAGAUUGAAAAUAAACUUGAGUAGAAACGAAAGCAGAGAAAAGAAGAAAUCUCAGAAGAAGAAAGAAGGACAGCGAGAGAAAGCAAAUAAUAGACCCAACGCAAUGCAAAAAAAACAUUAGUUACCCAAAUUUCCUCUGAUCUUCAAUAAUGCAUUGAAUCAUAAGAAAUAUGUACAUGGAUCUUCAAUUCUCUUAAAGAAAGGAUAAUCAGCAGAGUCAAUUUGGACCUCUAAUUCAGAAAUUUGAAAGAAACCAUAUGAAGCCACGAAAAAAGCAAACCAAUUGAAGAAAUGGGGUUUGUUACCGAUGAAAAGUGGGAUUUCAUGUGAACAAUAAAUUAAA
This 2846-nucleotide long non-coding RNA is filed under the name Nicotiana benthamiana. RNAcentral's name for it is "long non-coding RNA (NBEN_LNC040234)". The stretch from base 1517 to 1921 matches the Rfam family "Bacterial small subunit ribosomal RNA", at positions 36 to 538 of the family's 1533-position model. The record is from RNAcentral. Lineage: Eukaryota; Viridiplantae; Streptophyta; Magnoliopsida; Solanales; Solanaceae.